GGUCCGGAACAGUCCAGGACUCCAGAUUACUCCAAAACAGUUCGAGAUCAGUUCGCGAUGGGACAGAAUCAAGCAGAAUCAUCAAUCUUUGUCAGCGACACAAUGAGAAGGUACAUGGCAGAAUUUCCUACAUGAUGGACUCGCAGGAUGUCAGUGAACAGGAAUUAGAAGUCUGAGAAAUCUCGAGAGACGAUACCGUGGGUAAAAAUCUCCACAUUAGCAAUUGGAUAAACAACACUUUGAAGUCUCUACAUGAGAUUGACAAAAAUGGCUGGACAAAAGAGCUAAAGAUUCGACUUCGUACUUUAUGGGAUCUGAGUACGAGAGAAGAAGUGAUAUAUCACAUCUUAUGUUACACAAUUUUCUUAAGCUAACAAAGAGGGCAUUGGUGAUUUCAAACAAACCACGAUUGACUGAAAUAAUCUUGGGUAUCAUUGGCAAUGUAUGCAGCAGUGAUAAAGCGGCCAUCGAUACAAUAGGCCGCGACCGAGAGCUAGUUAUACGAAUCCUGAGCCAUUUAACGUCGAACAAUUCGUUAAUAUUGAUUCAACUUAUCAAGUUCUUACACUCGGUUGUGUGGAAUCUCUGGAAAAAUCGUAAAAAUCUGGAUAAAUCGGAUUGGGCAGCUCAUCUUAUGGAAUGCAGCUUUUUCGGAGAUUCUAUAACCUUUAUAUUAUAAAUAUAAAGUAUUCAACUAAUUAUGACUUAUUAACGGAAGCAAUCAGUUUGCUUCAAUAUAUGCCCAAUAUAAAUCCAUUGAGUAGAAACAGAUUCUGGGUGAAACUGUUUAAAAUGGACGAUUUGAUUCCUGCCGUGUUAGAAUCGUUCGUGCAGGUAAUAUCAAAAAGAAAAGAGAGUGGCUUCGAAUGGCAGUUCGCCGAAAACUGGAUGGAAGUGCUACAUGCCAUAAGAGACUCCAAUCACGGACUUGAAUUCGAGAACCAUGAGACUGAUGAGAGAUUUUUGAAGCUGAUGGACAUUACUUAUAUACAGAAUAUUGGAACCAUGCAAACAACCAUGUAAUUUUUAUCCAAUCCGGGAAUUAGGCAUAAUUUUUAAUAUUACGGACGUGCUGUCGGUUCGAUUGUAGGGUGAAUUCGCCAAGAAUACAUAGCAUUCUAGCGAGUAUAACUUUCUACCUUAACUUUGUUUCAGUAUGUAAUCCAAGAAAAGAGCUAAAUUCCGAGGAACAUAGAGCCGCGCUUUUAAAAUACCCGAUUGGAUACUGGUUUCGUAUGUUUACAAACUGGACGGAGGAACCGGAGGAAGACCGAGGAACGGAAUGCGGAGAUGUUGCAUCUGUGUGAACAUGAUGCUUGUCAGUAUCUGAUAGGACUUCUAUUGUCCUACCCCUAAAGUGACAGCCAAAGCGCUGGACAAGAUGAAGGAAGCUGCCAUCUUCAUUGGUUGAAAAAUUUGAGAACAAAAGAUAUUUCCUUAACAUGUAACAUGUUAGAUAUACGGAAUAAAUAAUAAAUUAUUUCUUAAAUUUA
Temnothorax curvispinosus is the source of this 1493-nucleotide long non-coding RNA. RefSeq lists it as uncharacterized. The record is from RefSeq and is a predicted model, not a curated record. NCBI's taxonomy places the organism in Eukaryota, Metazoa, Arthropoda, Insecta, Hymenoptera, Formicidae. The transcript has 6 exons.